AGUGAACGCUGGCGGUAGGCCUAACACAUGCAAGUCGAACGGCAGCACAGUAAGAGCUUGCUCUUACGGGUGGCGAGUGGCGGACGGGUGAGGAAUACAUCGGAAUCUACUUUUUCGUGGGGGAUAACGUAGGGAAACUUACGCUAAUACCGCAUACGACCUACGGGUGAAAGCAGGGGAUCUUCGGACCUUGCGCGACUGAAUGAGCCGAUGUCGGAUUAGCUAGUUGGCGGGGUAAAGGCCCACCAAGGCGACGAUCCGUAGCUGGUCUGAGAGGAUGAUCAGCCACACUGGAACUGAGACACGGUCCAGACUCCUACGGGAGGCAGCAGUGGGGAAUAUUGGACAGUGGGCGCAAGCCUGAUCCAGCCAUACCGCGUGGGUGAAGAAGGCCUUCGGGUUGUAAAGCCCUUUUGUUGGGAAAGAAAAGCAGCAGGUUAAUACCCCGCUGUUCUGACGGUACCCAAAGAAUAAGCACCGGCUAACUUCGUG
RNAcentral lists this ribosomal RNA (492 nucleotides) under uncultured bacterium. RNAcentral describes it as "partial 16S ribosomal RNA". It matches the Rfam family "Bacterial small subunit ribosomal RNA", at positions 29 to 507 of the family's 1533-position model. The record is from RNAcentral.